RNAcentral lists this ribosomal RNA (406 nucleotides) under uncultured bacterium. RNAcentral's name for it is "partial 16S ribosomal RNA". It matches the Rfam family "Bacterial small subunit ribosomal RNA", at positions 30 to 526 of the family's 1533-position model. The record is from RNAcentral.
AUUGAACGCUGGCGGCAGGCCUAACACAUGCAAGUCGAGCGAGCGGCGGACGGGUGAGUAAUGUCUGGGAAACUGCCUGAUGGAGGGGGAUAACUACUGGAAACGGUAGCUAAUACCGCAUACCAUCAGAUGUGCCCAGAUGGGAUUAGCUAGUAGGUGGGGUAACGGCUCACCUAGGCGACGAUCCCUAGCUGGUCUGAGAGGAUGACCAGCAACACGUGAACUGAGACACGGCCCAGACUCCUACGGUAGGCAGCAGUGGGGAAUAUUGCACAAUGGGCGCAAGCCGGAUGCAGCCAUGCCGCGUGUAUGAAGAAGGCCGUAGGGUUGUAAAGCACUUUCAGUGGGGAGGCGUUACCCGCAGAAGAAGCACCGGCUAACUCCGUGCCAGCAGCCGCGGUAAUAC